ACCGACAACCCUGAUAUAUUUAGAAGUAUUAAAAAUAACAAAUUGACAACAUUUUCGUCUCACAAAGUGACGGUAACGAAACGGCAAGAGCCGUCAAAGCAUUGUUAAGCCAAAUAGGAAUCUUUCUGCUCGAUUUCUGGGGGGACUUGUAAAGACAAAGAAAGCCAAGAUGUUGCACAUCUUAGAGGAAGCAGCCAACAAUCCAACUGUAGAUAUCGCAAACAUUGGUGAUAAUAUUGCACUAUGGUUGAUGCAAUGGCAGUAUUGCAAGCUGCAUAACGAAAAUAGAGAACAUUUGGUGAAUUUGCAGAUCAAAUAUUUGAUUAUUUGGUAAAGCUUGCAGAGCAAUGCAAGGCUACUAGACUAGACUUUGUUUUUGACAGAUAUCCAGCAAUAAGUAUCAAGAAUUAAAAAAUGUUGUAAAAGAAAUAGUGGAAACAAA
Long non-coding RNA from Xenia sp. Carnegie-2017, 442 nucleotides. RefSeq lists it as uncharacterized. The record is from RefSeq and is a predicted model, not a curated record. Lineage: Eukaryota; Metazoa; Cnidaria; Anthozoa; Malacalcyonacea; Xeniidae. The transcript has 2 exons.